RNAcentral lists this ribosomal RNA (256 nucleotides) under uncultured bacterium. RNAcentral describes it as "partial 16S ribosomal RNA". It matches the Rfam family "Bacterial small subunit ribosomal RNA", at positions 521 to 776 of the family's 1533-position model. The record is from RNAcentral.
UAAUACAGAGGGGGCAAGCGUUAUUCGGAAUUAUUGGGCGUAAAGGGCGCGUAGGCGGUCUUUUAAGUCAGAUGUGCAAUCCCCGAGCUCAACUUGGGAACUGCAUCUGAGACUGGAAGACUCGAGUGCUGGAGAGGGUGGUAGAAUUCCACGUGUAGCGGUGAAAUGCGUAGAGAUGUGGAGGAAUACCAGUGGCGAAGGCGGCCACCUGGACAGUAACUGACGCUGAGGCGCGAAAGUGUGGGUAGCAAACAGG